CGCCCCUCGGCGCCCUCCCCGCGCGCUAGCCCUUGGCCGCGGCCCGCGCUCGCCCCUCCUCCCCCCACCCGGGACCCUCUCUCCCUCCCCGCCGCCCCCUCUCCCUCGCCGCCCUCCUCCCUCCCUCUCUCCUCCUCCUCCUCCCUCCCGGCGGCCGGCGGGCCAGAGACGAGGUGGCUGCAGCAGGCGUCGCGGGAAGCCCCGGCUUGGGGAGGCUGCGGGCGCGGAGCCGGUAAACUGGGAAGCAGACUCUUGAGUUCACAGCUGGCCUGUGGGUUUUGCAUCUCGUUAAGGAGCACCUCGUCAUACAGGUGGCAUUUUUCUGAAGUUGUUCAUUGGGACUUCCCAGCAUUCCUGCAGAUAUAAAAGAAACACCACUCUGAUGAGCACACAUGAAUGUCGGAAAGGACCAUGUACAGUUUCAUAAGUAGUAUUAAAUUUAAUGCUGUAAUUGCUAUGCUUCCAUUCUGACGUGAUUUGUUUUGUCACUGUUUAUGAACAAGUUUCAGAGCUCUUUAUAACAGGCAUGGCUGACUUUAAGUUGUCUUUCGUUUUGAGCUUCUCUGUGGACCAUUUCACCAUUUGUUACAUUUCUCUCUGAAGAGGGAAGUAGAGAUGACCAGUUCAAAUUACCCAAUUUUAGUACUUGAUGACAACUCAGGUAGAAGAAUUGCCUGAAUAAAAAUGGAAAAUAGUUGAGUAAUAGGUUAUUUAUGAUCAACUCUUAAGAUUUUAAUUUAUAAACGUCACUUUAUUAGUAGAAAAUAUUAGUAACAAUAAUAGGGAUUGAGUAAUCUCCUACAGUAUGCAUUCAACAAAAUCAAGACAGUGGAAGUUCAGUAACUGCCCCCAGAGACUUGGAUCCAGCUCUGCUUCUCGCAAGGGAGAGGCCUGUUCAGCCUGGGCCUAGAGGGGCCUUGCUAUGAACUUGAGGACACAGCUCAGGCCAAGAGAGCAAGUCCGUGGUGUGGAUUUGGGACCGACCGACAUCCUAUCCAAGAGGGUCUGCCAUGUGCAGGGGAUUCGCAGAGCAUUUUGACAGACACCAUCUCAUUUGUGGAAAGGUAAUCUUUUUAGCUUAGAGAUUCUGGGGAAGGAAGAAUUGCCCUUAUGUCAUGAAUUGAACUAUUGAUUCCUCACAUGUUAUUAAAUUGUUCUAAUGACUACUACUGCCCGGGUUAGAUUAGGAAGCUUGAUUGUUGUGUUUUUUUAUGGGAACUGUAAACGCUUGUGAGUUAAGAAAUUAUUCGAGCAAGCUUCCUUCUCAUGGGAAAGCCAGGGCUCACCUGAGACAGGUGGGUGUCCUGAAAAGGCUGGUCAUUCACUGGCACCUUAUCAAACUGAUAACUUUAAAUAUCUGUUCCAUAUUUAUUUAGUAGGAAUGGAGAAACUGAUUUUCUAUUAGUAAAAAAUAUAUACCUUUUCCUGUAUGUUGAAAAUAAUGGAUUUAUUACAUGCGAUUUCCUGAACCAGGUGUUCGUAAACUUCUUUAAAAUUUGAGUAGUAAUAACACUCUGCCAUGCGUUGUUCAGAUCCAGAAUUUCAGCUGCCUGCCAGCCAGGUGACAUCGAGGCUGGUAGCGAGGCCUGUCUUACUCAUCCCGCUCUAUGAGGGAAAGUGUUCUCACCAGAGACAGCCUGUGCUGGCGAGGCGUGUGCGUAGUUCCACUCAGAGGCACUGUCUGCUUGAAUGGAAACAGGUCUGACUGCCAUUUUGCCCGUUAUGUAAGGAGUUGCAUGUAACCACCGAGUUACGUGGCUCCAUAUUUCUGAUGUAUUCCAAUGAUGAUUUAGUCCCCUGUUGUGGGUUGUCACCUUGGAUUGCUGCCAGGCUGGCCUGUUUAAUCCAGCUCUGGCGAAAAGCCAAUUCUGUUCUCCCAGUGCCUUCUGGAGCUAUGUCAUGUUCACCCUUGAAGUCCCCCUCUCUGAAGAUUUAACCAGAUAAUACCAGCCUUCUCGGUGUCUUUUUAUUAUUAUUAUUGUGAAUUAAUUCCAUAGAAAUACAGUAAAACUUUACCAAGUCAGACAGACACAGGAACGGCCAUUCUGAAUUAACAGUGUCUGAAUUACGGAGGAAUCUCAUCCUGCUUUCUGUUAUAUAUACCAUCACCCACAUUAUUAUGAGCUUGGCAGAAGGUUUCUCUAGAGCAGAGAGGGUCAUUGUGGUUUGGGGAGAGCCUUGUUGUCAGGAGGCCCUCUGUCCACCUCUGCUGGACACAGACUUGGGCUGGAAUUCCAUCUGUGGUGCAAGUUGGCUGUGGGGCCUAAGGCAUGUUUCUUUACUUGAUGGAACCCCCAUUUCCUUACGUGUGGAUACCUCUUCUGCCCAGAAUGGUUUGGCAGAUUGAACGAGGCAAAGAUGGCAGUGUGUGUGGUUCAUAGUAGGUAACAAGUGCCCCCUGCCUGGCUCCCUGACACCAGCUAUUUUGGCAAGAGCACUGCACAUGGAGCGGAGGAACUGCCCUGCCAGGCACCUCCUGUGCCUCACUGGUAAAGCAGCCAGGUAAUGCCUGCUCUGUUCUGCCCUGCCUACUCCAUGAGCAUCAUGAGAAGCCUUUGAAGAGUGUGAAUUUAGGGUGUGUGGUUAGUAGUGGGGGUUUCUAGUGGGCAGGCUUUUUUUUUUUUAAUCUAGUCAGACUUUCUGGGCUUGAAUCCCAGCUCUACACCUUCUAAUUAGGUGUAUGACCUUGAGCAAAUUAUUAACACCCUCUGGCUCUCACCUGCCUCACAGGAUUGCUGUGAGAUUAAGUGAUGUACUGUGUAUGGAGUAGGGCACGUGGGCCUAGCGCCUAGUGAAUCUCAAUAAAGAUGCUGAUAAAUUUGCCAGGACACAAGAAGGGAGGCACAGAAUCUGACUUGAAAAAAUAUCUACAGUUUUACAGUCUCUCAGGUUUGAACUUGGGCUUAUUGAACUGCUUUUUUAUAUCAUGAUAUGGUAGUUUAGACCAGGGAUGAUCAUCUUUGUCCUGAAUAAACUGAGAGCGAUCAUAUCCUGCAAUGGGCCUUGCUCAUCGGAAGAGCGAAGCAUUGGGAGUCAGUCUUUCUGGGUUUCCUUCACGAGCAAAGAGGGGGAAAGGCUAGUAAGGCAGAAUUCUUA
This is a long non-coding RNA of Equus asinus (donkey), 3096 nucleotides long. The record is from Ensembl. Lineage: Eukaryota; Metazoa; Chordata; Mammalia; Perissodactyla; Equidae.